CUCCAAUGGACUUUUUCUUUAUAACAGCCUUCCCGACAGCCCCUUUUACCUCCAUAAAAGGGCGCGACUCUGCAGUGUUGUCCGUGGUUUUGCUGUAGCGUCGUUUUCCCGUAUUGCAGAUCUUUGCUGUUCCUAAGUUAACCUGUUUUUGCUGGCGAAAUAACUGGCAGUUUUAUUCGAGAGGAGGAAACCCCGAACCGUUUCCCCAGUGAGACGGAUGUGCAUGAUCGUGGUGUCGGGAGAGCGACUGUAGGACCCGAGUGGAGCUCGCUGGAUGCUUCUGCCAGGACAGCCAGAUCUUGACCUACCAGUACGGGAUCCCGACUUCUCUCCAGAACACAGGCCAGCAAUGGGACUUCCCCAAUGCUUGGGCCCCCCUGCAGGACUUGGUCAUCAGAGGUCUGGCCAAGUCUCCUUCACCUCAGGCCCAGGAAGUGGCUUUCCAGCUGGCUCAGAAUUUGAGGUCUACUCCCAAAAGUCAGCCAUGUUUGAGAAGGUGAGCUGCUUCUGAGCCCCGAGCCUCCUGGUGAGCUGGGCGGGUGGGGAUGGGGG
RNAcentral lists this long non-coding RNA (552 nucleotides) under Ursus maritimus (polar bear). Its description in RNAcentral is "lncRNA (ENSUMAG00000000997.1)". Lineage: Eukaryota; Metazoa; Chordata; Mammalia; Carnivora; Ursidae. The record is from RNAcentral.